GACGCAAAAGUACAGCAUAUUGCUGUAAAUUUUAAAUCUACAGAGGCGGGGUUUUCUUCAACGGUCGACAUUCAGGAGCGGCAAUAAGUACGAUUCACAACUGUGCAUAUAUUCACUCUGGAGUAACCUUACCAGGAUACAGACGGAGAUUUGGAGUUCAUUCAAAGAUAUUUAAGAGGAGCAAAGAAGUCGAAAGGAAAAGUGCCAUCUAAAACAACAGGGCAAAUGGUACAGAAAAAAACGGUUGAAGUGAACCCAAGUUGCCACUCUUCUUUGCAAAGUGAAGGAUUUUCAGUGGA
This is a long non-coding RNA of Labeo rohita (rohu), 299 nucleotides long. RefSeq lists it as uncharacterized. The record is from RefSeq and is a predicted model, not a curated record. The transcript is spliced from 3 exons. NCBI's taxonomy places the organism in Eukaryota, Metazoa, Chordata, Actinopteri, Cypriniformes, Cyprinidae.